RNAcentral lists this transfer RNA (77 nucleotides) under Phaeobacter sp. S60. RNAcentral's name for it is "tRNA-Arg". It matches the Rfam family "tRNA". From Rfam's summary of the family: Transfer RNA (tRNA) molecules are approximately 80 nucleotides in length. Their secondary structure includes four short double-helical elements and three loops (D, anti-codon, and T loops). Lineage: Bacteria; Pseudomonadati; Pseudomonadota; Alphaproteobacteria; Rhodobacterales; Roseobacteraceae. The record is from RNAcentral. RNAcentral also lists the same sequence under 2 other names.
CUGCGCGUAGCCCAACUGGAUAAGGCACGGAACUUCUAUUUCUGAGAUUGCGGGUUCGAAUCCCGCCGCGCAGUCCA